GACGAACGCUGGCGGCGUGCUUAACACAUGCAAGUCGAACGGAAAGGCCCUGCUUUUGUGGGGUGCUCGAGUGGCGAACGGGUGAGUAACACGUGAGUAACCUGCCCUUGACUUUGGGAUAACUUCAGGAAACUGGGGCUAAUACCGGAUAGGAGCUCCUGCUGCAUGGUGGGGGUUGGAAAGUUUCGGCGGUUGGGGAUGGACUCGCGGCUUAUAAGCUUGUUGGUGGGGUAGUGGCUUACCAAGGCUUUGACGGGUAGCCGGCCUGAGAGGGUGAACGGCCACAUUGGGACUGAGAUACGGCCCAGACGCCUACGGGCGGCAGCAGUGGGGAAUAUUGCACAAUGGGCGGAAGCCUGAUGCAGCAACGCCGCGUGCGGGAUGACGGCCUUCGGGUUGUAAACCGCUUUCGCCUGUGACGAAGCGUGAGUGACGGCAAUGGGUAAAGAAGCACCGGCUAACUACGUG
RNAcentral lists this ribosomal RNA (468 nucleotides) under uncultured bacterium. Its description in RNAcentral is "partial 16S ribosomal RNA". It matches the Rfam family "Bacterial small subunit ribosomal RNA", at positions 28 to 507 of the family's 1533-position model. The record is from RNAcentral.